This 1429-nucleotide long non-coding RNA is filed under the name Felis catus (domestic cat). RNAcentral's name for it is "lncRNA (ENSFCAG00000042365.2)". The record is from RNAcentral. Lineage: Eukaryota; Metazoa; Chordata; Mammalia; Carnivora; Felidae.
AAUGACGGAGGCCACCACACUGGCAAGCCGGAGGUCCGGCAUGCCUUGGCGUGGUUGGAAGGCUCUUUAGAAAAAAGAGCAGGGCCGACGCCGCCCCAGCGCCCCUUUCCGGGCAGAGGGAGCAUAUCCCCUGCGUUUGGCGGCUGCCCGGCCGGUGGCCCCAGCCUCCCGGGUCGCGAUUGUCAAGAUGCCUGGGCCGGGGCUCUCGCCUGUUGCGUUUCCCCUCCCGGCGCUCCUUUCUACAGGUGGGGACUACAGCGGUCCGUGGCGGCAGUGGCGAGGAGGGGCGUCGGUGAAGCUGGCGUGUUGGUUGUGCGGGGGUGGCCUCGCGGAGGAGCAGAGGAGAACCCACUGGGAUGGGCACUAGAGUGUUACAAUGAUCUGCGCAGAGCGGAGUGGUCUCUGGAGAUGCCUGAUGAUCUGUUCUGAGGAGCAGCCAGCAGCAUGAUGGACCCGGCCAGGGACCACUUACACCUGAGACGGACUAGAGAAAAAAACACUCCCAGAGAUGGAAGUCCAAGUCAAGAGCGUCACCUGUACCCAAGGAGACGGUGGCGGCAGCAGCAAGUACCUGUGGUCGAUUUCCAGGCGGAACUGAGACAGGUAUUCUCAGCCGGGAUGCCAAGAAGUGGUUAAAGUGGUAUUGGAACAUCUAGGUAGCUGAUUUCCAAGUGAAGUAAAAGUAUUAUCCGUGGGGGGCGGGGGUGGUGAUGGUGUGGGACCUCUUACAAUGAUCUACAAGACCCUCAUGAUCUUAUCUCCAACCUAGUCACCUCUCUGACCUAAUUUUGUACAACUCUUCAGUUUUGCGCUGGACGCAGGGCCUCCUUGCUAUUCUCCACACACAGUCCUACCUGGGCCUUUGCGCUAGCCGACCUUUGUGCCGGGGAUGCUUCCUCCCCGCCCCCUCCGUGAUUGACACCCUCACCUCCUUCAAGUCUUUGCUUGAAGCAUAGCACCUUCUCGUGUAUAACCUCUUCUGAGCACCCACUAACAGCUAACACACUAAUUAAUUUACCUAUUGUGUCCAUUGUUGAUUUUCUCCCACUCCCUCUGCCCCUUCUACAAAAAAAACAUGAACGCCAAGAGGCCUUUUUGUUACCAGUUCCUCAAAGUGUCUGGCACAACAACAAACAGUUGUUGAACGGGCAAACAAUGUCGUCAAAGAGAACAGAAUAUAAAAGGAGGGUCCAGGAGCCAGGGUUCAGCCAGGGGGAAGUGCCGGGUUAUCUUGUUUCAUCACCAGAGACUUUCUUAGGCUGAGAGCUGCAGAACUCUGAACACAUAAGGACUGUUCCUGCACUGAGACUGUUUCCUGCACUGAGACUUGACCAGACUCUAGCAUAGCUUCUGGCAGCACAAGGUUCUGUCCCUAAGUUUGACUUCCAGCCUGAGGAAGUUAAACACCUGACACAGGCCCCCAACCUGU